Molecule: ribosomal RNA, 497 nt
Filed under: uncultured bacterium
Lineage: Bacteria
Description: partial 16S ribosomal RNA
Rfam family: Bacterial small subunit ribosomal RNA
Source: RNAcentral
GAUGAACGCUGGCGGCGUGCCUAAUACAUGCCAGUCGAGCGAACAGACGAGGAGCUUGCUCCUCUGACGUUAGCGGCGGACAGGUGAGUAACACGUGGAUAACCUACCUAUAAGACUGGGAUAACUUCGGGAAACCGGAGCUAAUACCGGAUAAUAUAUUGAACCGCAUGGUUCAAUAGUGAAAGACGGUUUUGCUGUCACUUAUAGAUGGAUCCGCGCCGCAUUAGCUAGUUGGUAAGGUAACGGCUUACCAAGGCAACGAUGCGUAGCCGACCUGAGAGGGUGAUCGGCCACACUGGAACUGAGACACGGUCCAGACUCCUACGGGAGGCAGCAGUAGGGAAUCUUCCGCAAUGGGCGAAAGCCUGACGGAGCAACGCCGCGUGAGUGAUGAAGGUCUUCGGAUCGUAAAACUCUGUUAUUAGGGAAGAACAAAUGUGUAAGUAACUAUGCACGUCUUGACGGUACCUAAUCAGAAAGCCACGGCUAACUACGUG